CCUACGGGUGGCAGCAGUGGGGAAUAUUGCACAAUGGGGGAAACCCUGAUGCAGCGACGCCGCGUGAAGGACGAAGUAUUUCGGUACGUAAACUUCUAUCAGCAGGGAAGAAAAUGACGGUACCUGACCAAGAAGCCCCGGCUAACUACGUGCCAGCAGCCGCGGUAAUACGUAGGGGGCAAGCGUUAUCCGGAUUUACUGGGUGUAAAGGGAGAGUAGGGGGGAGAGCAAGUCCGAAGUGAAAACCCAAAGCUCAACUCUGGGAAUGCUUUAGAAACUGCUCAGCUAUAGUGCAGGAGAGGCAAGUUGCCUUCUUCUUGUAGCGGUGACAUGCGUUGAUAUUAGGAGGACCCCCAGUGCCGCAGGCGGCUUGCUGGACUGUAACUGCCCCUGAGGCUCGAACGCGUGGGGAGCACACCGGAUUCGAUACCCGGGUAGUC
RNAcentral lists this ribosomal RNA (440 nucleotides) under uncultured bacterium. Its description in RNAcentral is "partial 16S ribosomal RNA". It matches the Rfam family "Bacterial small subunit ribosomal RNA", at positions 338 to 795 of the family's 1533-position model. The record is from RNAcentral.